Molecule: ribosomal RNA, 444 nt
Filed under: Clostridioides difficile
Lineage: Bacteria; Bacillati; Bacillota; Clostridia; Peptostreptococcales; Peptostreptococcaceae
Description: bacterial LSU rRNA
Rfam family: Bacterial large subunit ribosomal RNA
Source: RNAcentral
AGGCUUAUCUCCCCCAAGAGUCCACAUCGACGGGGAGGUUUGGCACCUCGAUGUCGGCUCAUCACAUCCUGGGGCUGUAGUAGGUCCCAAGGGUUGGGCUGUUCGCCCAUUAAAGUGGUACGCGAGCUGGGUUCAGAACGUCGUGAGACAGUUCGGUCCCUAUCCGUCGCAGGCGUAGGAAAUUUGAGAAGACCUGUCCUUAGUACGAGAGGACCGGGAUGGACGUACCUCUGGUGUACCAGUUGUCCUGCCAAGGGCAUGGCUGGGUAGCUAUGUACGGAAUGGAUAAGCGCUGAAAGCAUCUAAGCGCGAAGUCAACUUCAAGAUAAGAUUUCCCACCGCAAGGGUAAGACCCCAGAAAGACUAUCUGGUUGAUAGGUCGAAGGUGUAAGUGCAGCAAUGUAUUUAGCUUAUCGAUACUAAUAGGUCGAGGACUUGACCAAU